Molecule: long non-coding RNA, 1238 nt
Filed under: Ananas comosus (pineapple)
Lineage: Eukaryota; Viridiplantae; Streptophyta; Magnoliopsida; Poales; Bromeliaceae
Description: long non-coding RNA (ACOM_LNC033966)
Source: RNAcentral
GGAGAAAUUCUAGUAUGCAGCGCGUACACCACGUCACCUUUAUCACCGGCCAAUAAUAGCGCGACACCUCAGCAGCCAAUUAAAUUGAGAAGAAAAAUCAAACAGCACUAACGCCGUUUCCCUAGCAAUUUGAAAUUAUCGAAAAUUGGUGCCCGAGUUUUAGCGGGAGUUUUUAAUCUCUCUCUCUCUCUCUCUCUCUCUCUCACAGAUUAGUCCAUGAAAAAAGGGGGGAAAAAAUUUCCAUCGAGAUAACCCAGACACUCUGCUUCCCCGUUGCUUGCCGAGGCCACCAUUGAUGCCACCGUCGCAGACGACGACUCCGGCUGCACCGAUGACUUUAUGAUGCCAGUCUAAUUGCCGCCGCCGACGUUCUCGCACGACGCCCCUCUUGCUCAGUAAUGCUUACCGACUCCGACCGCGUCCUCCACUUUAAUUUGCUUGCCACCGAGUUCCACUGGCUCCUUCGUAAUUUUCUUUUCCUUCUCAAUGCUCCUUUGUAAUUUUUUUUCCCUUUCCAUCUAAUUUAUAUUCUCUACAUAAGUAGGCUGUACUUAUUGUGCAUGUUUUUCUUUAAAAAAAAAACCUAUUUUUUAAUUCUUAGGAAUGCACCAAGUAAUACUAAUUUGGAUGAAGAUAUUAGUAAAGUGUAUGAAGAAAACCGUCAACUUCAUCGCAUUUUAAAAUUACAGAGUAUUUUGAAACAAUUUUUUUCCCCUAUCAUUGACACAUGCAUCAACUUUUCAUAUUUUGGAUCCAAUAAUUUUAAUCUAAAAAUUAAAAAUUUUACUAAAUUUAGCUAUGAUUCGAUUAAAUUUAUAACUUUUUUUUUUAAUAUUUUCAAAUUUGUUGAGCAACAUGAGCUGCUAGUUUGCAAGCAAAGUAGUCAAUUAAAAGUCCUAAUUAGUAUUAAUUCGUAGCAUUUUAGCUAAUAAAGUAUGAUGUUCUUUAGCUCUUUUGCAAACUGAAACUCAAUCUUUCUCCAUCAUAGGUUGAAUGGCUGCAUCAAUUAGGAAUCAUGUCAUGGUCGACAAAACGAAUGAUAACAGCAUCUGGGAGUAUAUAAAUAUAGAUGCUUAUGAUAAAAAACUUGAAGUGGGUAUAAUAGUUAAUUCUGAAGACGAAGCUUACAAUCUCUACAAUGAAUAUGCAUUGAGGAAGGGUUUUAGCAUAAGAAAAGGAAACAAACGAUUAGUCGAUGGGGUUCUCCGACAACGAGAAUAUGUGUGCUCCAAAGCAGG